GUCUAUGGCCAUGCCACCCUGAACCUGCCCAAUCUUGUCUGAUCUCGGAAGCUUAGCUGGGUCGGGCCUGGUUAGUACUUGGAUGGGAGACCACCUAGGAAGACCAGGUGCUGUAGACA
Molecule: ribosomal RNA, 119 nt
Filed under: Pteropus alecto (black flying fox)
Lineage: Eukaryota; Metazoa; Chordata; Mammalia; Chiroptera; Pteropodidae
Source: RNAcentral